UGGGGAAUCUUCCGCAAUGGACGAAAGUCUGACGGAGCAACGCCGCGUGUAUGACGAAGGCCUUCGGGUUGUAAAGUACUGUCUUUGGGGACGAACGGUAUCUAUGUAAAUAAUGCAGAUACAUGACGGUACCCAAGGAGGAAGCCCCGGCUAACUACGUGCCAGCAGCCGCGGUAAUACGUAGGGGGCGAGCGUUGUCCGGAAUCAUUGGGCGUAAAGGGCGCGUAGGCGGGUCAUUAAGUCUGGUGUGAAAGGCAGGGGCUCAACCCCUGGAAGGCACCGGAACUGGUUAUCUUGAGGACAGGAGAGGAAAGCGGAAUUCCACGUGUAGCGGUGAAAUGCGUAGAUAUGUGGAGGAACACCAGUGGCGAAGGCGGCUUUCUGGACUGUAACUGACGCUGAGGCGCGAAAGCGU
Molecule: ribosomal RNA, 415 nt
Filed under: uncultured bacterium
Lineage: Bacteria
Description: partial 16S ribosomal RNA
Rfam family: Bacterial small subunit ribosomal RNA
Source: RNAcentral